ACGGCCAUAACAUGCUGAAUAAGCCGGUUCUCGUUCGAUCACCGAAGUCAAGCAUUAUCAGGCGCAGUCAGUACCUGGGAGUUUGACCACAUGGGAACAUAGCAAGCCG
Non-coding RNA from Caerostris darwini, 109 nucleotides. The record is from the annotation of a GenBank genome assembly. NCBI's taxonomy places the organism in Eukaryota, Metazoa, Arthropoda, Arachnida, Araneae, Araneidae.